Long non-coding RNA from Hypanus sabinus (Atlantic stingray), 1711 nucleotides. RefSeq lists it as uncharacterized. The record is from RefSeq and is a predicted model, not a curated record. NCBI's taxonomy places the organism in Eukaryota, Metazoa, Chordata, Chondrichthyes, Myliobatiformes, Dasyatidae. The transcript is spliced from 3 exons.
CGCUGUUUGUGUCACGUAUCAAUGACCGGGUAAAAGUAAGGGGCCAUUGUUAAGAAUUUGGCAGAUGAUACCUCGGUUUAACAUCCAAGAGCAAUUACCUCUGACAGUGCACCACGGCCCACAACCUCUGAGUGAUGAGCUGUAAUACGCCUUCAAGGUCACAGGUUGAACUUUUGAACCCUCUGAUGUCGACCCUCAGGGCAGCUGGACUUCAGUGAAUCACUUCUCAGCAGCUUUGGUUGAAGACAGGCUCUGAUCCUUGUGGAGAAUUGCAAUGACACCACGUCUUUCCUGUGGAGCACAGUGGGGACCCAGCUCUUCCACUCUACUGAGUAGAAUAAGCUCCUCUUAUUCCUUGUCCAGAUGCCACAACACCCCAGACUCCACAAGGCUCAUCAGGUCAGUGCUUAUGCCGGUUUCAGUGGCGUGACGCGACUGAGAGUACGAGACUUCCACACCUGGAUAGGACGCCAGUCUAUGGCGAGGUUAUAAGGCUUACAGUUUGGCGACCGCUGGAUGAUGGAAUCCCAAAGCAUGUUAAAGAAUUGACUGGAGGGUGAUCAUCGUCUCCCAAAGCUACCUAAAGUGGCGCUUCUACUCACCAAAUUCUGCCACACAGAUGCAAAUGCUAACAUGGAGAUAAUAUAUUCGCUUUGUGUUUAGGAGCGACAAAUGCUCCUGAACUGAAAAGCUUAUUUGUUGUUCAUGCUCGGUAUACACAAAACUGAAUGCACUUGUGUUUAAGUAAUUGUAUACCUACUCAGAUCUAUCAAUAUUUCCACAGUCUUAAAUUGUUCUGAUGCAUACAUCAGCUAAUAAAGUUCUUUUGAUUUUCUAUUGAUUUUGUUUUGCUGUACAUUAUUCUUUCUUUUGCUCACUGUGUGCAAUUUUAUGUAUAACAGACCUUUCUUUUACUAACACAAGAGAUUCUGCAGAUGCUGGCAACCUUGAGCAACAUUCGCUUUUUUUGUAACAGAGGGCAUUGAUGGCUUGAUGUUAUUGUCACUGAUCUUUUUUGGGAGGGAGGCAGUUGGGGGUUUGAUACUAUUGUUGCUGUUUUGUUUUGAGAGGGAGGGGGUUAGAAGGUUUGGGGUUUCUUGUUCCAGCUGCCAUUUUCCAUGUGGGCAAUCUGUUAGCUUUUGGGCAAGGGAUGGUGUGGGGGCUUUGGGGUUUGUGAGUGUUGCUUCUUUUUCCUUUUAAUGCAGGGAGGGGGUUGAUGUCUUUUCUCUUUUCUGUAUUUCAUGGCUUUCUGGAGAAGACAAAUAUCAGAGUUGUAUUGUACAUGGGUACUUUGACAAUAAAAUGAACCUUUGAAUCUUUAAUCACCUGCCAGCUUGUACUCCUUCCUCCCUCACCACCUUCUUGUUCUAGUUUCUGCCCCCUUCCUUUCCAGUCCUGAUAAAGGGUCUUGGAAAAAAAGCACCGAUUAUUUAUUCACUUCAAAAGAUGUGCUUGAUCUGGUGAGUUCGCCCAACAACUUAUGUGUUAAUAUUUAUUUAUUGAGUGUGAGAGUGAGUGUGUGUGCGUGCACGCGCACACAUAUCACAGUCAGCAUGCCUAUGUCUAUGUACAGUAUCAGUGUCUGUGUGUGUUUUAGCAUUUGUGAAUAUGUUACAUAUCUGUGGAGUAUUCGGAGUAUAACCAGAAAGCUGUAAGUGUUUCUCUUACAAGUGCUUGCAAGAAAAUGAAUCUCAAGGAAGUAAAUGGAACA